UGGUUCAAAAAGACUAUAUUCACUAUAGUAUUUUUUUACCUUGGUGGUUACAUAUUCAUGGUUCGUGAUUUUACUUGUUGGUAUUUUAUUUCAUUGGUUACAUUUUACAAUACUGACCAAUGUUUUUGUGGAUUUUUAGAGGCAUAUUAUAUUGGGAGAUGCUCCGCUUUACUUAAUUUACUGCGAUGCAAAACGUGCUGCAACAAUUUCCACUGCCCAGUGUUCUUAAACCGACCAGACAGCACAAGUUGAAUGCACACCUUCAAAUUCUCUUCAAAGAGGCUGUUGUCUAUGGAGUAAAUUGACAAGCAGAAUCACCCCAGGACAAUGGAAGCUGAUCAAAAACAAGAAACAGUUGACCGGCUGUGUGGGAUCUUCAUGUUAAUGGAGCCACAGAUCACAGAAGACCUCUGCGCUGCAGAGGAACAACCAAAAGUCUUCAAGGGUUUAGUGAAAGAGCUGUGCUUUCUGAUGUUGAAAGAGGAAGACCAGGAAAAAGUCCUUCAACUUUCACAGGCUGAAACAGAUGACAGACAAAUGGCCAAAGAGCCUUUAGUGUUUUGCUUACAAAUUAAGGAUGAUAUGGACAUUUUUCUUAAUGAGUUUCUGGACAAAAACAGCCUUGUAAUUAAUCGCAUGUUUAUGGAGAUUUUUUUUUUUUUUUUUUUUAAGAUUUAAUUUGUCAUCAUGUACCUGCUGUUCAAUUUACACUCAAUUUGGUUUGAUUUUGUAAUUUUUUAGAGCAAAGCACAGCUAGUAGCUAUAUAAUGCUUUUGCUACUUAGAGGGAAAAGUACAUUUUAUUAAAAUUAAAUAAAUAACUUUUGUUUUAGGGUUUGAUGGAUCUGAAUUUGCUUAAUUCAUGCAAUCUAGUGUACAACCGUGUAAUGUGUAUUAUAUAUUAUGAAAAACAAUGGUUCGUUCUGAAAUGCUUGAGUAAAAUAUACAUUUUAUGACAAAUUAAUAAAUGUUUAUCAUUUUUAGUGUUUAAGCUUUGUGUUCAAUUUAUAUUCAGUUAAUUAU
Megalobrama amblycephala (Wuchang bream) is the source of this 1022-nucleotide long non-coding RNA. RefSeq lists it as uncharacterized. The record is from RefSeq and is a predicted model, not a curated record. The transcript has 4 exons. Lineage: Eukaryota; Metazoa; Chordata; Actinopteri; Cypriniformes; Xenocyprididae.